AUGAUGGCCGAGCAAUUCUACACAGUGGCAUCUGACAGCGAAACCACUGGGGACGACAAAGCACAACAAUCAUUCCCUGAUGUUGCUAUCGGCAUUGAUAUUGGCACUUCAAGAUGCAGUGUUGCUAUUUGGAAUGGUCAUCAAGUGGAGCUACUGAAAAACACUCGGAGCCAGAAAGGGAUGAGGUCAUAUGUCAUGUUCAAAGAUGACACCCUUUCAGCGGGUGUUACUGGAGGAGCAACCCAGGAGCACCCACACGAGGAAAGAGAUAUCUUGUCAGGAAGUGCAAUAUUUAACAUGAAGCGUUUAAUCGGGAGAAUGGACACAGAUGAAGUGGUUCAAGCUAGCAAGACUCUCCCUUUCCUUGUGCAGACACUGGGUAUUGGUGUGAGGCCAUUUAUUGCAGCUCUGGUCAACAAUAUGUGGCGCUCCACAACUCCUGAGGAAGUUCUUGCCAUCUUUCUUCUUGAAUUAAAGGCCCUGGUGGAAAUGCAUCUCAAGCAUCCAGUGAGGAAUGCUGUUCUAACCAUCCCAGUUGCAUUCAGUCGCUUCCAGCAGACCAGGAUCGAGAGAGCAUGUGCAAUGGCUGGACUGCAUGUGCUGAGGCUUAUGCCAGAGCCCACUGCUGUUGCUCUUCUGUAUGCUCAGCAGCAGCAGCAGCUUAUGCAUGAUAACAUGGGAAGUGGCAUUGAGAAAAUCGCCCUGAUAUUUAACAUCGGUGCUGGUUAUUGUGACGUUGCGGUGUCUGCAACUGCUGGAGGUGUUUCUCAGAUAAGAGCACUCGCAGGUUGCACCGUUGGUGGAGAGGACAUUCUUCAGAACGCAAUGUGCCACCUUCUACCCAAUUAUGAUAGCUUAUGUGACAAUGCUGGUCCAACUACGGACAGGAUCAAGUCAAUGGCUUUACUGCGGAUGGCAACUCAGGAUGCGAUUCACAAACUGGCCUCCCAGGAAAGCAUUGAGAUCAAUGCAGACUUGGGUAAUGGCCUCAAAGUGUCCAAGCUGUUGAGUCGUGCAGAGUUUGAACAGGUGAAUCAGGCGAUCUUUGAGAAAUGUGAGAGGAUCAUCAAUCAAUGCUUGUCAGAUGCAAAGUUAACGCCAGAAGACAUCAAUGAUGUGAUCUUGGUUGGAGGGUGUUCCAGAAUUCCCAAGAUCAGAAGCCUUGUCCUGGGAUUAUGCAAGAAGGAAGAAUCUUAUGGGAGCAUCGACCAUCUUGAAGCCGCUGUUUCAGGUGCUGCACUGGAAGGAGCCAUCGCUUCAGGAGUCACCGAUCCUUCCGGGAGCCUGGAUCUGCUGACGAUUCAGGCGACCCCGAUGAACCUCGGAAUCCGUGCCGACGGGGACGGCUUUGCAGCCAUCAUUCCAAGGAACACCGCUGUUCCGGCUAGGAGGGACAUGCUGUUCACAACAACGCAGGACAACCAGGCCGAGGCGCUGAUCGCCGUCUACGAAGGCGAGGGGGAGCAGGCGGAAGAGAACCAUCUCCUAGGGUACUUCAAGAUCACCGGCAUCCCGCCGGCGCCCAAGGGUGCCGUCGAGAUCAGCGUCUGCAUGGACAUCGACGCCGGCAACGUCCUCAGGGUGUUUGCUGGCGUCGUGAAGCCGCAAGGCGAGGCCACCCCGCCGUUCAUGGAGGUGAGGAUGCCCACGCUGGACGACGGCCAUGGCUGGUGCGGGCAGGCCCUGGCGAAGAUGUACGGCAGCAAGCUCGACCUCGCUGUAAUCCCUAAGAAGCUGCAUCCGUAA
This 1746-nucleotide ribosomal RNA is filed under the name Triticum aestivum (bread wheat). RNAcentral describes it as "partial small subunit ribosomal RNA". Lineage: Eukaryota; Viridiplantae; Streptophyta; Magnoliopsida; Poales; Poaceae. The record is from RNAcentral.